GGCUGCACGAUGGCACAGUUGGUAGUACUGUUGCCUUGCAACAAGAAGGUCCUGGGUUCAAUUCCUGGCCGGCAGUCU
Non-coding RNA from Characodon lateralis, 78 nucleotides. The record is from the annotation of a GenBank genome assembly. Lineage: Eukaryota; Metazoa; Chordata; Actinopteri; Cyprinodontiformes; Goodeidae.